This 362-nucleotide long non-coding RNA is filed under the name Monodelphis domestica (gray short-tailed opossum). RNAcentral's name for it is "lncRNA (ENSMODG00000042014.1)". The record is from RNAcentral. Lineage: Eukaryota; Metazoa; Chordata; Mammalia; Didelphimorphia; Didelphidae.
AGGGGACCUGGAAACUCUUACAGCUUCACUACAACAUCCAAAUUGAGCCUAGACUAUGCAUUUGGAAAUUUGGAGAGGCUAGGAUAGAAGUUAAAGCUGAAAAAGGUCUUAGAAAUAACCUGGUCCAAUCUCCCCCUUUUUGGUAGAUAAGGAUACUGAGACCUGGGGAAGGAAAGUGAUAUUUGCACAUGGGAAGCAAGAGCAAAACCAAGAUUUAGACCCAAGUCUUCUGGCUGCAAAUCUAAUGCUCAAGUUCUUUUUGCCAGCCAUAUUCACCAGGAGAAAACAGCGCAUAAAAUGAAGCUGAGAAAUGGGCAGGGGAUGGUGACUCUGGUGCAGGAGCAUGGUGGUUAAGUCUAAAG